Molecule: ribosomal RNA, 234 nt
Filed under: uncultured bacterium
Lineage: Bacteria
Description: partial 16S ribosomal RNA
Rfam family: Bacterial small subunit ribosomal RNA
Source: RNAcentral
UGAGGAACAUGACCUUCGGCGGGGGAUAGCCGGCCCAACGGCCGGGUAAUACCGCGUACGACCUUUCGGGGACAUCCCUGGAUGGUGAAAGCAGCAAUGCGCCGAUGGAGUGCCUCGCGGCCUAUCAGCUAGUUGGUGAGGUAACGGCUCACCAAGGCGACGACGGUUAGCUGGUCUGAGAGGAUGGCCAGCCACAUUGGGACUGAGACACGGCCCAGACUCCUACGGGAGCAG